UACGUAGGGUGCGAGCGUUAAUCGGAAUUACUGGGCGUAAAGCGUGCGCAGGCGGUUCGUCGUGUCCGAUGUGAAAGCCCCGGGCUCAACCUGGGAAUUGCAUUGGAAACUGGCGGACUCGAGUGUGGCAGAGGGGGGUGGAAUUCCGCGUGUAGCAGUGAAAUGCGUAGAGAUGCGGAGGAACACCGAUGGCGAAGGCAGCCCCCUGGGCUAACACUGACGCUCAGGCACGAAAGCGUGGGGAGCAAACAGG
Molecule: ribosomal RNA, 253 nt
Filed under: uncultured bacterium
Lineage: Bacteria
Description: partial 16S ribosomal RNA
Rfam family: Bacterial small subunit ribosomal RNA
Source: RNAcentral